ACUCCUACGGGAGGCAGCAGUGAGGAAUAUUGGUCAAUGGAGGGAACUCUGAACCAGCCAUCCCGCGUGUAGGAAGACGGCCUUAUGGGUUGUAAACUACUUUUAUACAGGAAGAAACGUACCCUCGUGAGGGUGCCUGACGGUACUGUAGGAAUAAGCACCGGCUAACUCCGUGCCAGCAGCCGCGGUAAUACGGAGGGUGCGAGCGUUAUCCGGAUUUAUUGGGUUUAAAGGUCCGUAGGCGGAUUAAUAAGUCAGUGGUGAAAUCCCAUCGCUUAACGAUGGAACUGCCAUUGGAUACUGUUAGUCUUGAAUGAGGGUGCAGUGGUUGGAAUGUGUAGUGUAGCGGUGAAAUGCGAUAGAUAUUACACAGAACACCGAUUGCGAAGGCAGAUCACUAACCCUAAUUGACGCCUGAGGGACGAAGCGUGGGGAGCGAACAGGAUUAGAUACCCUGUAGCGACU
Molecule: ribosomal RNA, 465 nt
Filed under: uncultured bacterium
Lineage: Bacteria
Description: bacterial SSU rRNA
Rfam family: Bacterial small subunit ribosomal RNA
Source: RNAcentral